Molecule: ribosomal RNA, 711 nt
Filed under: Porticoccus sp.
Lineage: Bacteria; Pseudomonadati; Pseudomonadota; Gammaproteobacteria; Cellvibrionales; Porticoccaceae
Description: bacterial SSU rRNA
Rfam family: Bacterial small subunit ribosomal RNA
Source: RNAcentral
AUUGAACGCUGGCGGCAGGCCUAACACAUGCAAGUCGAGCGUGAAAGUUCCUUCGGGAGCGAGUAGAGCGGCGGACGGGUGAGUAACGCGUAGGAAUCUGCCCAGUAGUGGGGGACAACAUGGGGAAACUCAUGCUAAUACCGCAUACGCCCUAAGGGGGAAAGCAGGGGAUCUUCGGACCUUGCGCUAUUGGAUGAGCCUGCGUCGGAUUAGCUAGUUGGUGGGGUAAUGGCCUACCAAGGCGACGAUCCGUAGCUGGUCUGAGAGGAUGAUCAGCCACACUGGGACUGAGACACGGCCCAGACUCCUACGGGAGGCAGCAGUGGGGAAUAUUGGACAAUGGGGGAAACCCUGAUCCAGCCAUGCCGCGUGUGUGAAGAAGGCCUUCGGGUUGUAAAGCACUUUCAAUAGGGAGGAAAAGUUAAUGGCUAAUACCCAUUAACCCUGACGUUACCUAUAGAAGAAGCACCGGCAAACUCCGUGCCAGCAGCCGCGGUAAUACGGAGGGUGCGAGCGUUAAUCGGAAUUACUGGGCGUAAAGCGCGCGUAGGCGGUUUGAUUAGCUGGAUGUGAAAGCCCCGGGCUUAACCUGGGAAUUGCAUCCAGAACUGUCAGGCUAGAGUACAGUAGAGGUGAGUGGAAUUUCCUGUGUAGCGGUGAAAUGCGUAGAUAUAGGAAGGAACAUCAGUGGCGAAGGCGGCUCACUGGACU